GCGUCUACCUGCAGUCGACGGUGAACACGGAGCUUGCUCUGUGGGAUCAGUGGCGAACGGGUGAGUAACACGUGAGCAACCUGCCCCUGACUCUGGGAUAAGCGCUGGAAACGGCGUCUAAUACUGGAUAUGUGACGUGACCGCAUGGUCUGCGUCUGGAAAGAAUUUCGGUUGGGGAUGGGCUCGCGGCCUAUCAGCUUGUUGGUGAGGUAAUGGCUCACCAAGGCGUCGACGGGUAGCCGGCCUGAGAGGGUGACCGGCCACACUGGGACUGAGACACGGCCCAGACUCCUACGGGAGGCAGCAGUGGGGAAUAUUGCACAAUGGGCGCAAGCCUGAUGCAGCAACGCCGCGUGAGGGACGACGGCCUUCGGGUUGUAAACCUCUUUUAGCAGGGAAG
This 400-nucleotide ribosomal RNA is filed under the name Microbacterium oxydans. Its description in RNAcentral is "bacterial SSU rRNA". It matches the Rfam family "Bacterial small subunit ribosomal RNA", at positions 46 to 447 of the family's 1533-position model. The record is from RNAcentral. Lineage: Bacteria; Bacillati; Actinomycetota; Actinomycetes; Micrococcales; Microbacteriaceae.